GGGCCCGCACAAGCGGUGGAGCAUGUGGUUUAAUUCGAUGAUACGCGAGGAACCUUACCAGGGCUUAAAUGUAGUAUGACCGGCUUGGAAACAGGCCUUCUCUUCGGAGCAGAUUACAAGGUGCUGCAUGGUUGUCGUCAGCUCGUGCCGUGAGGUGUUAGGUUAAGUCCUGCAACGAGCGCAACCCCUAUUCUUAGUUGCCAGCGGUUCGGCCGGGGACUCUAAGAAGACUGCCAGCGCAAGCUGAGAGGAAGGUGGGGAUGACGUCAAAUCAUCACGGCCCUUACGUCCUGGGCUACACACGUGCUACAAUGGUAGAGACAGAGGGCAGCCACCUGGUGACAGGGAGCGAAUCCUUAAACUCUAUCUCAGUUCGGAUCGGAGUCUGCAACUCGACUCCGUG
Molecule: ribosomal RNA, 403 nt
Filed under: uncultured bacterium
Lineage: Bacteria
Description: bacterial SSU rRNA
Rfam family: Bacterial small subunit ribosomal RNA
Source: RNAcentral